GGAUGUGAGGGUGAUCUGGUUGUGACAUCUGUCACCCCACUGACUGAUCGACUGGGUCAAUAUGACUGAUUUGGCUAGAUAGGCAGGUGUCCUCUUCUUCCCUCACCAUUUCAGGUACAUCUAUCCCAAAGGUAUAUGCUUGGCUGAAGAGGACCACAUUUCUCAAGCAGAAACGGACUGAUCUUUGGCUGAGGGUAUAAGUAUUUUGGCUGUGCUGCCCUGCUAGAACCUCCCAGCAAGCUCUCAGUCACUAUGAUGUUAACACCAUCAGUAGAAAGUAGAUAUACUUUAGGGGAUUAACUGU
Erinaceus europaeus (western European hedgehog) is the source of this 304-nucleotide non-coding RNA. The record is from Rfam. Lineage: Eukaryota; Metazoa; Chordata; Mammalia; Eulipotyphla; Erinaceidae.